AGUGAACGCUGGCGGUAGGCCUAACACAUGCAAGUCGAACGGCAGCACAGUACUAGCUUGCUCUUACGGGUGGCGAGUGGCGGACGGGUGCGGAAUACCUCGGAAUCUACUUUUUCUUGGGGGAUAACGUAGGGAAACUUACCCUAAUACCGCAUACGACCUACGGGUGAAAGCAUGGGAUCUUCGGACCUUGCGCGAUUGUAUGAGCCGAUGUCUGAUUAGCUAGUUGGCGGGGUAAAGGCCCACCAAGGCGACGAUCCGUAGCUGGUCUGAGAGGAUGAUCAGCCACACUGGAACUGAGACACGGUCCAGACUCCUACGGGAGGCAGCAGUGGGGAAUAUUGGACAAUGGGCGCAAGCCUGAUCCAGCCAUACCGCGUGGGUGAAGAAGGCCUUCGGGUUGUAAAGCCCUUUUGGUGGGAAAGAAAAGCAGCAGGUUAAUACCCCGCUGUUCUGACGGUACCCAAAGAAUAAGCACCGGCUAACUUCGUG
Molecule: ribosomal RNA, 492 nt
Filed under: uncultured bacterium
Lineage: Bacteria
Description: partial 16S ribosomal RNA
Rfam family: Bacterial small subunit ribosomal RNA
Source: RNAcentral